UGUGGCAUGUGGGAUCUUCCCAGACCAGGGCUCGAACCUGUGUCUCCUGCAUUGGCAGACGGAUCCUUAACCAGUGUGCCACCAGGGAAGUCCCUUCAGGUUUGAUUUUAAACUUUGUUAGGCAGGACCAGAACAGACUUGAAGGCUAAAUUGAUGAUUCUCUUCUUGUUAUAGGAAGAUGGGGCACAAGAGGAUGGUCAUGUCGCAGGUCUUGGGUGAGUCCAUGGGACAGACCGCCAAGUGAAGGUCCUUGGCUUCUCACGGGAAACAAUUCAAGAGCGAGCCAUAGCAAAGUGAAAGCAGUUUAUUUGGAGAGAUGUCUGUUUAUUUACACAGAAUGCGGUCCCUCUCAAAAGGCAGGAGGGUAAAUCUGAUCCCUGUUAAGCCAUCUCAGCUGAACUUGGCCAGGGGAUUAGGCCUGAUCCAAGCUAGCCAGUUGGGUUCUCACUCCUGCAACUGGGAUUCUGCCAUGUGGACACUGUGGACUAAGAAUGCCUCCUGCCACAUCAGUAAACAAAAGAUGCCCGGCCAUCAAGCCAUCAGCCACUGCAGUCACGCCCAAGGGUGCACCCGGAGGAGACUCAAGAUGGAAAAAAACAGGAUACCAGCCCUAGUUAGCUGAGGUGCAUAUCAAAGGAAUGAUAUCAAUGAGCCCAGAACUUUGCAUCUUCCCAUACAUAGAAAAGCACUAAAUUCAUUAACUUGAGAUGUCUGGUUUUCUUUAAUUAACAGUAAUCUUUUGAUGUUCCAAUUACCUGGUUUUUGUUACAAAACUCCUUUAUAUCCUGGCUCUUCCCUUCCCUCUUCAGAGUAGUGCCUCAGAGCCAUCUGAGAGUCCUGUCUCCUAGGCUUGACAUCCUCAGAAAAUCCGCUGAAUAAAACAUAACUCUCAA
Long non-coding RNA from Aethalodelphis obliquidens (Pacific white-sided dolphin), 893 nucleotides. RefSeq lists it as uncharacterized. NCBI's taxonomy places the organism in Eukaryota, Metazoa, Chordata, Mammalia, Artiodactyla, Delphinidae. The transcript has 2 exons. The record is from RefSeq and is a predicted model, not a curated record.